This 556-nucleotide ribosomal RNA is filed under the name Vishniacozyma victoriae. RNAcentral's name for it is "partial large subunit ribosomal RNA". It matches the Rfam family "Eukaryotic large subunit ribosomal RNA", at positions 77 to 618 of the family's 3401-position model. Lineage: Eukaryota; Fungi; Basidiomycota; Tremellomycetes; Tremellales; Bulleribasidiaceae. The record is from RNAcentral.
CCCUUAGUAACGGCGAGUGAACCGGGAUGAGCUCAAAUUUAAAAUCUGGCGUCUUUCAGGCGUCCGAGUUGUAAUCUAUAGAGGCGUUUUCCGCGCCGGACCGCGUCCAAGUCUCUUGGAAUAGAGUAUCAAAGAGGGUGACAAUCCCGUACUUGACGCGACAACCGGUGCUCUGUGAUACGUUCUCAAUGAGUCGAGUUGUUUGGGAAUGCAGCUCUAAAUGGGUGGUAAAUUCCAUCUAAGGCUAAAUAUUGGCGAGAGACCGAUAGCGAACAAGUACCGUGAGGGAAAGAUGAAAAGCACUUUGGAAAGAGAGUUAAACAGCACGUGAAAUUGUUAAAAGGGAAACGAUUGAAGUCAGUCGUGUGAAAGGUAUUCAGCCGUCUCUGGCGGUGUAUUUGCCUUUCACGGGUCAACAUCAGUUUGAUCCGGUAGAAAAAGGCGGGAGGAAGGUGGCACCCUCGGGUGUGUUAUAGCCUCCUGUCAUAUGUGCCGGACCAGACUGAGGAACGCAGCUUGCCGCAAGGCCGGGGUUCGCCCACGUACAAGCUUAGGA